AACGAUUAUUACAGUUUUCAUAGUACAACCCGGAAGACUUUUUAUUUUAUUCAAUCACCUACCUCUCCACCACACUAAUCUUUUUCCCUACCACCACUAAUAUUUUCUUUUCCCUACCACUAAUCUUUUUCCCUACCACCACUAAUAUUUUCUUUUCCCUACCACUAAUAUUUUUCCCUACCACCACUAAUUUGUUUUCAUACCACUACGCUUUAAAAAAAAAAAUAGCUUUUAGUCAUGCCCUUAUAUCCUUACUUCUCUCUGCACAACCAAAGUUGGAAUUCAUAGAAGCCUUUAAGCUCCAAGAGUAGUAUCAAAGUAAGGGAGAGCGUGGGAAACCUAGGGCGUAAAGUUAGAGUGAAGAUUGUGCUUCGAGGGCUUUGUGAUGACCAGGAGGAUUAGCGCUACUUUUCCCAAGACAGGUUUUUAUGUGUAUGAUCUUCAGGCUUUGCCUAACCAGGUUGGCUGGCCGGUGCUGACGGGACGGAGCUGAGGCUAGAGUUAAAAUUCAUAUGUUAGACUUCCGCUGUAGCAAUUACUCUUAUACAUCUUUUGUUUUCUCAACUUAAGAUGACUUCAUGUCGAGCUUAAAUUUGAAAUUCUAGUUUUAUGCUAAUGAAAGUUGGUUGUCAGAAACAUGAAACAAAACUUGUGAUCCAAAGGGGCAUAGCCCGACUUUCUAUCCUAUUUUGGGUUUUAACGAGGUA
Molecule: long non-coding RNA, 707 nt
Organism: Salvia miltiorrhiza (redroot sage)
Lineage: Eukaryota; Viridiplantae; Streptophyta; Magnoliopsida; Lamiales; Lamiaceae
Exons: 3
Source: RefSeq, a predicted model, not a curated record